Non-coding RNA from Coturnix japonica (Japanese quail), 1922 nucleotides. The record is from RefSeq and is a predicted model, not a curated record. NCBI's taxonomy places the organism in Eukaryota, Metazoa, Chordata, Aves, Galliformes, Phasianidae.
CCACAAAAACGUAACAUGGGAAGAGUGUUGAACUCCCACGUUUGUAGUCAGGAGAGAAGGUUUCCCCAUGCACAGUGUGUAUCUAGCCACACACACAGCUCUGGAUUCAGGAUCCAGUUCGCAGUGCUACAGGCAGAGCCCUGCUCUCUCCUGCACACAGUGCUGGACUUGUCGAGUCAUCAGCAAAAUAGGGAAAUCUGAAGGAUUCCUACAGCUGACACCGGGGAAUCCCUUUCAGAGCCUCUGGCUUCAGCAAAGGGGGAACAUCCCUUGGACAAAAGCAAUUGCAUCUGCACAGUGGAAACGGCAAUGGGGUGAAGAUCAUUCAUGGUUAGAAAUACUUGUUUGCAAGAGCAGUGGGAGAACAGAGGCUGUCCUACGAGUCAGAAACAUUCCCAGUUUUCUCCAUACAAAAACUGCCAUGCUGACAGGCAGCCAUACAGCCUUCCCCAGGAGGUCAGUGUUUAGUUUCCCCACAACCACAGAAUCGUGCUUCUAUCCCAUUGAGCCACCAGCCCUCCCUGCUUUGGCCUGUGCAGAACAACAGAGAGCUCUGCAGUCAGAAGCCAGAUGUUCUUCACUGCUGCUGAUCCAGAAUGUCUAUAGGCACCACUGCGGAACUCCAAGAUCUCCAAAAAACCAGCUGCUAUGGCAGGUACAUUCGCUUGCAGCUGGCUUUACCUAACAUGCAAGAACGCAGACACCACAGUGCAGCUGUACCGGGGCCGCAAGUAUCAACACUUUCAUCUCCAAAAUGAAUUAGAAAUCAAGGGCUGAACAUUUCUUCCCUGCUCAUUUCCCACCCCCCAAACCCCAAAAGUUUAAACAACUAACUCUCUUAGCAGCCCAUCUCUCACCUAGUUAUGUUGUUUACUCCAGUGACGGACAGUAAUUCUUUUUUCGCUUAGUCUUUUGCCAAUAAUCUUACUUUCCUAUGCAAAGACCUAUCCUAAAAUGGCCUAUGAACUCAAGACAACUUAAUGACUAAUUGGAAGAGAGUUGGGAUUCUUCCCCUCCCUCUUGCCUCCCCACCAGCGUGCUCGUGUAAUGUUUUGCUAAGAAAGAUACCUCAAACUUCCAAAGUAGCGACUACUGACAUUAUCAGCGCUGCACAGCAGCGGGAGCAGGGGAACCAGCCGAGGCACAGGGCUGGAAUGGCCACAGGCCAGAAAAAUGCCACACCGCAGACUCCUCGGGGUUCUUCCUUUGGGCCCGGUUAAUUCAUUUGAACACAAAAGCGUGCAAAGAAAUGCAAAUGUAUUCCACUAACUCAAAUAGGCAGCAAAAGACUCUGAGGCUUUUCUCUUUCAGCUCCCGUCUCUGCCUGGAGAAAAAUGCCCAUAUUCCUUUCUUAAGGCCCUUUGACGAGGCUUUUAAGGAUGGCAAACAGUGCUGGUAUUUGAUUGCCGCUGGGUGCUGCAUUCUCCCAGCCCGCAUUCCACUCUUCCAGCAGCCCAUCACGUUCACAAACAGAAACUCUUCCGAUCAGGUUACAGUGGCUUCAGAGAGUCCCGUGCACGCAGAGAACUGCUGAUGAAGCAUUUUGUACCUCCUAGAUGUAAGUUUUGGGAGAAGCCUCUUUGCUGACAUAGGGCGCUACAACCAGUGAAUCACGACACAACCCAUUUACAUGGAUUCCAGCACCGCGCUCCACUGCCCCAUUUCUUCAGCACCUAAACUGAGCUCCUGGCAGGCAAACAGAGCCACAAAGUAUUUGAGGUAAAGCAGCACUUUGGGAACCAAGAGGUUGGGGCUGAUGAACACUCCUUGGUGACUUUCCAGGAGUCCCGCUGUGAAGGUUUUUUUCCACUUGCUACUAGAUCCAUAGAGGAAAGAAACAAUUUAAAAGCCCAAUCUAAAUUCAGCGGCAGGAGGCAGCUUUUAAUUGCACUUUGGAUCAAUAAAGAAGCAAUUUAACACUU